Haplochromis burtoni (Burton's mouthbrooder) is the source of this 1113-nucleotide long non-coding RNA. RefSeq lists it as uncharacterized. The record is from RefSeq and is a predicted model, not a curated record. NCBI's taxonomy places the organism in Eukaryota, Metazoa, Chordata, Actinopteri, Cichliformes, Cichlidae. The transcript has 3 exons.
UACUUUUAGUUUAUUGAUGAUUGCAGAUUUUCUUAUAUGUUUUCUUAUUUCAUGUUGGCUUUUAAUCUUUAAUUGUUUUGUUUUGCCAAGUUUGCUCUUUCUUAUCACCAGCUUAUAACUGUCAGUUCAAAGAAAAGCACUCUGAAGUGCACUAAUGUAUGAAGGGGCGCAGUAUCAAAAUAAAAUAAGAUUGAGUGAAAGCUAAAGGCUCUGCCUGCCAUUUUACUUUAAAUACUCUAGGAACUACAAGUUAGCCAGCAGUCUGAGAGCAAAGUGCUCUGUUGGGGUGAAACAGUGCUGUGAGUUCUUUAAGAUAAGAUCGGACCUGAAUAUUCAACACAUUGUAUCUGAGGAAAAGGAUUUUAAAUUUAAUUCUGAAUUUAACAGGGAAAGAAAUCAAGUGAAGCCAAUGUGAGAAGAAUAUAUGUAGUAGAUUUAAAUUAUAAUAAAUAUAAAUCAUAUAACAUCUGAGAAGUAAUAAAUGCAUGAGCUAGUUUUUCACCGGAUGUUUCAAUUUUUAUUGCAAAAGAGGACACAAAGAACCCAACAGGUCCUCACCCAUCUGUGGAAGAAAAAAAAAAGUAAUGUAAAAAUAUCAGGGUUAAAAAAAAUGUCAUGGUCCGUGGUCCUGUGUCUGUGGAAUGCGUGAUGCUCAGGUAGCCACACCCCCGGGCUGGGCCAUCACCAGCACACCUGCUCUCCAUCCCGGUGAUUACACGGAGAUCCACUUAACCCGGCGCUGACGGAUGCUCCACGCCAGUCCGUAGUCAUCCCCACAGUGGUUUCUACUCGGCGUCUGCUACCUGCCUGUCCUCCGGCUCAACUGGAUCUCGCGGUGCUCACCUGGCCCACUCGCCAUUCCACGGACUUCCUGCCCCCACGGACUGCCACACUUCCCCCCCGAGCUCCCACGGUUCUGUUCUAUCCCCCCCGCCGUCCCGAUCCCGGCUUCCUCGUGUCAUUGUUUCCCCGGAUUUUUAGUUUCUGUUUUGCUCUCUACUUUCCCCGGGUCGCCUUUCGUUGUUUUAAUAAAGUGUCUUUUGUUAGCUCGGAGUCUGCGCCUGCAUCCUUUCGUGCCCGCGCACCACGGCGCAUGACAAAAAAAGCAUAGUG